Molecule: transfer RNA, 65 nt
Filed under: Chamaeleo namaquensis
Lineage: Eukaryota; Metazoa; Chordata; Lepidosauria; Squamata; Chamaeleonidae
Description: tRNA-His
Source: RNAcentral
GCUGCGUUAGUUUAUCACAAACACUGGCUUGUGAAGCCAAAAAUGGAACCACCCCUCCACACAGC